RNAcentral lists this ribosomal RNA (1306 nucleotides) under uncultured bacterium. RNAcentral describes it as "bacterial SSU rRNA". It matches the Rfam family "Bacterial small subunit ribosomal RNA", at positions 28 to 1381 of the family's 1533-position model. The record is from RNAcentral.
AACGUACGCUGGCGGCACGCCUAACACAUGCAAGUCGAACGAAGUAGCAAUACUUAGUGGCAGACGGGUGAGUAACAUGUAGGUAUCUGCCCUUUGGCCUGGAAUAACACGAGGAAACUUGUGCUAAUACCGGAUAAGUCUUUACGGAGAAAGCUUUAUGCACCAUUGGAUGAGCCUGCACUUGAUUAGUUUGUUGGUGGGGUAAUGGCCUACCAAGACUGUGAUCAAUAGCUGAUUUGAGAGGAUGAUCAGCCACAUUGGGACUGAGACACGGCCCAAACUCCUACGGGAGGCAGCAGUGGGGAAUCUUGCACAAUGGAGGAAACUCUGAUGCAGCGAUGCCGCGUGAGUGAAGAAGGCCCUUGGGUUGUAAAGCUCUUUCGUCGGGGAAGAAAAUGACUGUACCCGAAUAAGAAGGUCCGGCUAACUUCGUGCCAGCAGCCGCGGUAAUACGAAGGGACCUAGCGUAGUUCGGAAUUACUGGGCUUAAAGAGUUCGUAGGUGGUUGAAAAAGUUAGUGGUGAAAUCCCAGAGCUUAACUCUGGAACUGCCAUUAAAACUUUUCAGCUAGAGUAUGAUAGAGGAAAGCAGAAUUUCUAGUGUAGAGGUGAAAUUCGUAGAUAUUAGAAAGAAUACCAAUUGCGAAGGCAGCUUUCUGGAUCAUUACUGACACUGAGGAACGAAAGCAUGGGUAGCGAAGAGGAUUAGAUACCCUCGUAGUCCAUGCCGUAAACGAUGUGUGUUAGACGUUGGAAAUUUAUUUUCAGUGUCGCAGGGAAACCGAUAAACACACCGCCUGGGGAGUACGACCGCAAGGUUAAAACUCAAAUGAAUUGACGGGGACCCGCACAAGUAGUGGAGCAUGUGGUUUAAUUCGAAGAUACGCGCAGAACCUUACCAACACUUGACAUGUUCGUCGCGACUCUAAGAGAUUAGAGUUUUCGGUUCGGCCGGACGAAACACAGGUGCUGCAUGGCUGUCGUCAGCUCGUGUCGUGAGAUGUUGGGUUAAGUCCCGCAACGAGCGCAACCCUCACUUUUAGUUGCCAUCAUUAAGUCGGGCACUCUGAAAGAACUGCCAGUGAUAAGCUGGAGGAAGGUGGGGAUGACGUCAAGUCCUCAUGGCCCUUACGUGUUGGGCUACACACGUGCUACAAUGGUAUCUACAGCAGGAAGCAAGACUGCGAAGUUAAGCAAAUCCCUAAAAGAUACCUCAGUUCGGAUUGCACUCUGCAACUCGAGUGCAUGAAGCUGGAAUUACUAGUAAUCGUGGAUCAGCGUGCCACGGUGAAUGCGUUCCCGGGUCU